RNAcentral lists this ribosomal RNA (259 nucleotides) under uncultured Pelotomaculum sp. RNAcentral's name for it is "partial 16S ribosomal RNA". It matches the Rfam family "Bacterial small subunit ribosomal RNA", at positions 1123 to 1382 of the family's 1533-position model. The record is from RNAcentral. Lineage: Bacteria; Bacillati; Bacillota; Clostridia; Eubacteriales; Desulfotomaculaceae.
GCGUGAAGGCGAGCACUCUAGACGAACUGCCGUUGACAAAACGGAGGAAGUGGGGAUGACGUCAAAUCAUCAUGCCCCUUAUGUUCUGGGCUACACACGUGCUACAAUGGCCGGUACAGACGGACGCAAAGCCGCGAGGCGGAGCAAAUCCGAAAAAGCCGGUCUCAGUUCGGAUUGCAGGCUGCAAUUCGCCUGCAUGAAGUCGGAAUCGCUAGUAAUCGCAGGUCAGCAUACUGCGGUGAAUACGUUCCCGGGCCUU